This 284-nucleotide ribosomal RNA is filed under the name uncultured bacterium. RNAcentral describes it as "partial 16S ribosomal RNA". It matches the Rfam family "Bacterial small subunit ribosomal RNA", at positions 524 to 806 of the family's 1533-position model. The record is from RNAcentral.
UACGUAGGGUGCAAGCGUUAAUCGGAAUUACUGGGCGUAAAGCGUGCGCAGGCGGUUUUGUAAGUCUGUCGUGAAAUCCCCGGGCUCAACCUGGGAAUUGCGAUGGAGACUGCAAGGCUAGAAUCUGGCAGAGGGGGGUAGAAUUCCACGUGUGAGCAGUGAAAUGCGUAGAGAUGUGGAGGAACACCGAUGGCGAAGGCAGCCCCCUGGGUCAAGAUUGACGCUCAUGCACGAAAGCGUGGGGAGCAAACGAGAUACGAACCGUGUAGAUCCAUGACCAUUCU